UACAGAGGUGCCGAGCGUUAGGCGGAAUCACUGGGCUUAAAGCGUGUGUAGGCGGGCCGUUAAGUAUUUUGUGAAAUCCCCCGGCUCAACCGGGGAAUGGCUGGAUAUACUGGCGGUCUUGAGCAGUCUAGGGGCAGAUGGAACAAGUGGUGGAGCGGUGAAAUGCGUAGAUAUCAGGAGGAACACCGGUGGCGAAGGCGGGUCUCUGGGCCGAUAUUGACGCUGAGGAGCGAAAGCGUGGGGAGCGAACAGG
Molecule: ribosomal RNA, 253 nt
Filed under: uncultured bacterium
Lineage: Bacteria
Description: partial 16S ribosomal RNA
Rfam family: Bacterial small subunit ribosomal RNA
Source: RNAcentral